Molecule: long non-coding RNA, 7565 nt
Organism: Parus major (Great Tit)
Lineage: Eukaryota; Metazoa; Chordata; Aves; Passeriformes; Paridae
Exons: 3
Source: RefSeq, a predicted model, not a curated record
CGCCACUGUGUCCCCUGACCACUAAACCACAACACCCAGCGCCACAUCCAGGCGCUCCUUAAACGCCUCCUUAAACUGGUGACUCCACUAUCUCCCUCGGCGACCUAUUCCAACGCCUGACCAUCGCACGGCAAAAGAGUCCAACCCGCGUCUCAUUACAGCCUCCUUUCACGGAGCUGUAGAGAACGGAAGAAAGGAGGACACAGUAAUGCCCACCAGCCGCCAAGGCAGUAUCCUGCGACGAAAAGCGCUUUAAGGACAAGGCCUGUUUAAUGAAGCAAGGCUCGCCCUCACCUUCUGGAAACUGACACCACUAAUCACAGGAUGUCAAGUGGCAUGAUGGUCUUCAGUCCUAGGUUGGACUCUUAGAGGAUUUUUCCAACCUGACAACGUGAUUUUGUGAAGCAGCUGCCCAGGUGUGCAGCUCAGGGGAAAGGAGAAGGAAAAAGAAUAAUGUUGAAAAACAUUCUUUGAAUAGGUGAGUUUGUCUAGUAGAAGUGAGAUGACAAAAUUUCUUCCUCUUUUGUGUCUUUACUUUCAAAAACUGGGGGUGCCAAGAGGAUGCACCAGGCUCUGUUCGGUGGUGCCCAGCAACAGGACAUGAGGCAAUGGGGGGAAGCUGAGGCACAGAAGUUCCACCUGAACAUAAGAAAGAACUUUACUGUGCAGGUGACCAUGCACUGGAACAGAUUGCCCAGAGGAGCUGUGGAGUCUCCCUCACUGGAGAUAUUCCAGAAGCAUCUAGAUGCAAUCAUGUGCCACAUGCUCUGCGAUGACCCUGCUUGAGCAGGGAGGUUGGACCAGAUGACCCACUGUGAUCCCUUCUGACCUGACAUCUUCUAGGUUCUGUGAAGAAAAAUGCAAAAAGUGAUGCCUGGGUGUGGUGCUGUAGGGAAAGGUGAAAAAACAACAAAUAAUUUUAAGAAACACUCUUUGAAUAGGUGAGUUCAGUGGCUAGAGGUGAGAUGACAAAAUAUUUUCCCCCAUGUGUAUUUAAUUUGUAGUCUCAAAAAUUGUAACUUUGGCAUACAAUUCCUUUGAGGUCAGAUUCCUCUCCCUGCAUGUAGCACCUGGGCAGAGCCCUGCACUGGGUGAAUGCAUUAGGGUAUCCUUUGUGUUACAUUCGAGUAUGUCCUUUUCUGAGUGCCAUGGCUGAGAACAAAGUAUAGGGCAGCAAAGUUAUUAUUCUGUUUUUAAAAUAUGGACUUUAUCAUGCUUUAAAUUGCUGUAAAAUUAUAUUUCUUGCCCCUUAUUUAAAAAAGUGGAGGCAUUAAUUUCUAGAUCACCAAAACAAAGUUAGAGAGUUUCCAUGUCUAAAACGUAUGCUUCCCAAAUAAAGUCAAUUAAAAGACUACUCAUUAUUUAGGUAGUGUUUGUGUGGGAGUGGGGUCAGUUCAAAAAGACAAAAGCUAGCUUGAAAUAAGGCAGAGGAAAACCUAAAACAAAUCAGCAGGACAAGUAGUAGGACAACCCUAAGUAUAGGCUUGGUGCUUUGGGGAAACGCAAGCUUCAAAAGAAAUACUGUUGAUUAUUGGUGCUAAGUUGUGGUUGUGGAAACAUUUCUUCAAUAUUAGAGCAAAGAGAUGCCUUACUCCAUUAUUCGUUUCUCAUCAGCAAGCGGCUGUGAAGUCCAAAUUGUUGAUCCACUAGGAAAGAAAAAAACUCAAAGGAUUAGUAGGUUAGACUGGCUCUUCCUAAUGGGUGAGGUUCAGACCUCAGAGGCUUCACAGCCUGGUAAAUGCAAAGGCAGGUCAGUACUGUGUGGUGUGGGAGGAGACCAUAUAAAAUUUUGAUUUAAUCCUUUAAACAUUUCUUGAUGUGGAAAGAAAGGUUUUUCCCCAACCUUUCAUAACUGAUUACAGGGGAGAAAAAAGUGUGGAGUCCUAAAACCUGAGCUGCAGUAAGCAAGACUGAAGUUGCACAAGGCAGUCUCUUUGGUUUAAUAAUUUAAAGAGCAGAUUUUGUAUUUACAGUUAAGGUAUGAUGGAUGCCAACCAUAAAACUUUCUGUUUAUCCAAGCAAACAGAACAUGGCAAAGAAGCACAAUUCCAUGUAGAUCUAGAGGGUUGGAAUCAAAACACUGCCUGCAUCAAUGCAACCAGGACCAUGGUUUCUUUAACACAAUUGUUACCAUUACAUUAAUCUGCCCGGAGAUUUUCUAACACUGUUCUGACUCUAGACUGCAUAGCCUGCUUUAGCAUCCUUCAGAUAUAGGAAUAAUAUUUGGGAAGGCUUAGAGACCAAUUUUGCAUUUGGAGAAAGGAAGGUAUGAGAAGGUAAAGUGCCUGCUCAUAGCUGAGGGUAGGGCAGUUUGGCAUUUUCUACAGCAAAAUACUAAGAAUGUAAAUAAAUGUUUCCUAACAAAGUUAUAGAUGGAGACAGAGGACUGUGUAAUUAUAAUAUAUAUAUAUAGAUUAGUUUAUGUUUGUCUUUGAAAAAGAUAUGAAGACAUUUCCCAAGAGUUUGCAGAACGGGCAGUUUACAGAACCACCAAUUACAAAUAUCAUUUAUUAGGGCACCUAUUUUUUUUUUUUCAUUUAGGAUCUUUGAUAGCUCAAAUUAUCUCUAACACUGAACAAUAACAUGAAUUAUUUACUUUUUAGAGGUUUGCUUAUGUUGUGCACAUGAUAUUUAAUUUUUUGUUCUCUGUUACAGGGAAAAGCAGGUGAUUUCAAUUAAAAUAGCACAUGGCUAAGCCCACCAGAAGAGGUACUGCAGGGGAUACUGAAGCACAUACAUUCAGGAUUGCCCUGUCCCAUGCAGAAUCCAGCACUUGCCCUGGCUGAACUUCACAUGGUUGGUGAUUGGCCAGCCCCCUGAUUUGUCUGGGUCUCUGCAGGGCAUCUCUUCCCUCAGGGGAGUCAGCAACUCCUCCCACGUUAGUGUCCUUGGCAAACAUACUUAGUGUCCCUUCCAGUCCUGCAUACAAGUCAUUUAUGAGGAUGUUGAGCACAGGGCUGAGGCUGGGGCCCUGUGGAACCCCACUAGUGACAGGACCCCAGCCUGGUGUAACCCCAUCCACUGUAACCCUUUGUGCUGACCGUGAGCCAGCUGGUCGCCCAUCCCAUGGUAUGUUUGUCCAGCUGUGUGCUGGACAUUUUGUCCAGAAGGGUCCUGGGAGAGACAGGAUCAAAAGUUUUACUGAAAUCCAAAAGGAUUACAUAACUGGCUCAUGAACAUUUUUAAUUAGAUUUAUUUAUAGGACUAAUAAAACUGAAAAGCUUAUAGAUUCAGAAAACCUUCAAAGGUAUUUGCAGAAGUAUGAAGUGUCCUAUGUUUUUAUGGCUUGCUGCUUGUAGCAGAAGCCCGGAGUACUGUGUUAAGGGGCAUUAAAUCUGAUGUUGCUGGCAGAGCAUCGACAUUCCAAUAACAAAAGAAGGUCUGGUGGGUGUGUUAAAGCUGGUAUCAGAGAUCCAGGCUGAUAUCCAAGUGCUGAAUCAUUGAGUCAGAAUAAAUGCUGCUAUCAAAGAAUCUUAAUUGUUUAAGAAUUUUCAACUCUCCUCUGGGAACAAGAGGGAGAGGUCUGUCACUUCACCUAACUUCAGCUGUCUCAAACAUCCAGUUUGAGCCCAUUGACUGUGAAGAGAAAGAGGAGGAGAGGGCACCUCCAGGGCACAGUUCAUUCCACCCUCUUUGGAGAUGUGUUUCAAUAAAGAAGGAACAGCCUGCCAGAGCUCUGUCCCAGGGCAGCCUUUUCUCCCCAAGCACCUCGACAGCCACCUCACAGAUGCCUGAAGUUAAGUGAGAUGAAUUCAGGUCUAACUGGUAGCUAUAACCUAAUGAUGGAAAUAAUGUGGCAGCAUUCCAGGAGGUAUUAGCAAUUCACAUAGUUCCCAGAUUCUUUUUUUAAACCAUCUUUUAUGAUUUAUGGAGGUAAAUUAUAUAAAGCCCAUCAGAACACAAGAAACACUUAAAAAUGCUGCAUUAGAGAGACAUUAAUAUUAGUCCUUCUGAGGUGGUAAUGGCUGUAGCCUUCCCAGCCUGCUGCUCUGCCCUGCUGCUUAAUGCAUCCAGUUUUUCUAUUUACAGAUUUACAGAUUCUAUUUUUGGUGUUAACAAAGAAUAUGAGCAUAUGUAUCAAAGUAUUCUCACGUCAUCUAAUUAUAGUACUGCUGGCAAAGUAAUUCUGGAAAGUGCCACUUAAUUAAAUAUAAGCAUUAACAUUUUGCUGAUAGCUUAUCAGAAACAAUUAGACUUGAAAUAUGGGCAAUACACCUAGAGUUUAAAACUUUCAGUAGAAGCAUUCAAAGCACGAAAUUACCCAUUUUCACUUGCAUUCUCCAGUGUUUUCCUGCCGAGCACAACCUCAGCUUUCAUCAGUACAGUGUGUAUUAGGUAAUCUAGAGACUGCAAGUUUAUCUGGACUCCUCUGUGUGCAGAAGCCUGAGCUAAGUGGAUGCAUUUGAAAGUGGUUAAACCACUUCAGCAUAGUUGAUGUUUUCGCUAAUUCCUCCUGAAAUAUCAGAUGUAUUCUGCUGAUUAUUUAGGGUCUGCACACAACAACCCAGGAACUAUUUGGGGCAGUCAGACAAUCUCACAGCUUAUGCCAAGUGCUUAUUCUUUGCAAAGACAGCUUGAUCAGCAUUUAUGUUCAUUAACUUGAUCAGGGAUAUGCUUUUUUGUCCAUGCAACAAUGCCAAAUGUUAGUUAAUUCUAUGUAAUUUUUCAUCAAUAGCCAGAUAGAUCUACCAGAUAAUUAUACCUAAAAUAUCUCUGCAGAACUUUGAGCUCUGGUGCUGUUUGUCUGAAAGUGAAGAGGGGAAAAAAGAAAAACAGAGCUGUAAUGAAAAUAAUUAUUCUUAAGUAAAGAUACAAGGGCUAGGAGGAAACAAUUCCUUCAGAAGGUUUGUUUGACAACAUACAGCAAAACUACAUAGCAACUGAGGAGAGACGUUUUUCCCAGGUCUAACAUUUGGGCAAGCAGCAGUAGCAGGAGGAUCUGAAAUAACACCAUCUGGUGAAUGCCUGUUUCUUUCUUCAGCAAUCAAGAACUAUGUGUAACUAUCAACAAAGAAUAAAAUAGAAAUAAUGUAAAACUACUUUUCAGUUAAAUGUUACACAGAAUGAACAAACAGCUGCUCUGGGAAUGCAGAAAAGAAUGAUGUUAAAUAUAGUAGGAAAUUUGAGCAUGCUGCUCCUAUAAAUACAUGAACCAACUUUGCAAAUAGAAUGUAUGAUUCUGCAGAGGACAGGGAAGCUUAGUCCCAGACUGGAGUGCACCUAUUCUGGCAAUAAACGUAGCAAUGAUUUAAGCAUCACACAAGAGCUUAUCCCUUGACAGUGUGAAAUCAAGCUGCAGGACAUCUGGGCCUGCCUUUUUGUCCCAUUUUUUGCCAGUCAGAAUUCCCAUGUUUCUCCUGUUUGACUGUCUGAUGUACUUUGCUGAAUUCUGGGCUAUUCCACUUUCAGAAGACAGUCAAAAUAUAGGAGUUUGCACAUGAGCUCGGACUUGGGCGUUUGAUACUGUUGGUGACAGAAGCAAAUAUGUAUUUAUGUGAUUUACCAUUAGUCCUAUGGUUUUUAUAUCAAAGUUUAGCAUCCUAUCUAUAAAAAAUUGUGAAAAUAAUUCAGAGCUCAGUUUUUACCAAGUCUGCUAUUUUGCAUUGGUAAGAGAUUUGCAAAAUCCUUGGAAAGUCAAAGCAGCACUGGAAAUUCAGAAAGCAAAGCCACAAAAUCUUGAAUCCAACCCUACCUGGUAAGUGCCACUGAUUAACAACCACAGAAAUGUGACAAGGAAGAGAUUUACUGUCACUUAACUCAGACCCCAUCAAAGAUAUCAAAGUCCACAAAAGUUAUUUUGAAGAUGCUGCUGGCUUCACUAACAAGCAAGGCAGAGAGAAAGAUGAUUAAGGUUUUGGAUGCUGUGUCAUAUGAGACUGAGAGAGCUGAUGUUGUUCAGCCUGCAGAAGGCUCAGAUUCCAUAUCAGAUGCCCCACAGGACAAGAGGCAACGGGCACAAACUGAAAUACAAGAAAUCUUUUUAAAUAUGAUUAAAAAGGUUUUAUGAAGUUAAUUAACAGUGGAAACAGGUUGCCCAGAGAAACUGUGGAUUCUCCAUCCAAGAAGACAUUCAGAACUCCACAGGUGAAGGUCUUGCACAACCUGCUGUAGGUGACCCUGCUUUGAGCAGGGAGUUGGGGUUGGGCGAUCUCCAGACUUUCCUCCCGACUUCACUUUGUAAUGGAUUCAACUUGUGUAACUUCAUGAUCACUUUUUGCCUUGUUUUGUCUCUCUACACACAAGAGAAACUGAAUGUCCUUUCCAGACUACCAGAUACACAUUGAAAAACAGGUCAGAUACAUGAACAUUUGUGUUUUUAUUAAUGUUACAAAUUAGGAAAUGCCCUACCAGAGGAGUUUUCUGUAGUUUUGUGUUUACCACAUUUUUAGUAGCAGGUAAACUGAAGCUUAUAUAUUGAUUUCUAAGCAUUCAAAAAUAAAUACGCACAAUACUAACUUUAUAAAUAUUAAAGUAGAACUAAAACUGUAUUUAGCAAUGAAAAUAAUAAAUAGGCAAAGAGAAGCAGGUAAGUCUAAUUAUCAAAGCAAAUAAAAACUAAAUGGCACCUUCAAAGGGGCCCACAUGUGCCAGAAUUCCAGAAGAAGCUGAAAGAGAAAUUUUUGUGUUUGCUGACAGAGUGGCAUCCUUCACUAUGAAUUACAGCUUCUCAGACUUCUAUUCAUGGAGUUUUAUUCUUUCCAAAGAUUCUAUAGAAGUCUUUAAAAAGCAGAGCAAGUGCAUUCUUUGAAAGACACCCUGAAACAAAGGUAAACCUCAGAGCUGCAGCUUCCCUGGCAGAGUGGGAAAUCACAGCUCAAAAGCUGAAGGUAUAACCAUCCUUAAGCAGCAGAACUACAGGAAUGUUAGGGCUGGAAAAGCCUCAGUGUUGAUUGAGUCGAGCCAUUAACUGCCAAUCCCACCACUGAACCAAAUCCCUGUGACACAUCUCCAGGAAUUUUAAAUCCCUCUGUGAAUUUAAAUCCCCAGUGACUCCAUCACUGCCAUGGGUGGCCAGUCCCAACGACUAACUUCAAGACCAACAAGCAGGUAAUACCAGAAUCUUUUAGAACCUGUUCAGUACUAUGAGUUUUCAACAAGAGAAUGCCCAAUUUACUGCAAAAAUGAAAGAGUGUUUCUGCAGAGUUUCAAGAAAACUCAAAUUAUUUUAUUCACAAAAGCAGAAGUCAAUAAAAAUAUAGAUAUCCUAAUCAGUUUUACAGAACAUGUUAAUUUCUUCUCUCCUUCAGUGACAGGCAAAAGCAUGAUGGAAAAAAAAAGUAACAAGCAUUUACAUCACAAACCAUUUUUAACACAGAUUAAUGUAUAUGAGCAAAUAUUACAGGUCCAACAAACAUUCCUCUUGUUUUUUUCCUUUUUUUGUGCAGAACUAUUUUUCAGUGGUGGUAAGAAUAUGUGCUCACUGGUAUUUAACUAGCAGGUUUUGGUCAAAAUUGAAAUGUAUGAACUCACUGCAUUUAAAGUGUUUUCUCUGAAUUCCAAACCCCUUUAUAGAAUUAAAUGAGGACAUUUGUGCUCUAUUACUCAAGUGAUGCAAAAAAAAAAAA